CAUCCCUCAAUUUCAACAUUCGGUAAAGUCUCAUCUUUGAAACAUACAAAAAACUUUCUAUUCACAAUGAACCGUAUCGAGGUCAACCGAUUACGAAUAAUUACCCAAGCAUGUAAAAUACCAGGAACAUCGGUUUCUCGUAUUUGUAAAAUAUGCCAUAAAUUUUCAAACAUAACUUCAGCAGAAGAUUGUAAAACAUUGGUGAAUUGCCUUGAUUGAAACCCAAUUAAAUGU
Molecule: non-coding RNA, 234 nt
Organism: Schizosaccharomyces pombe (fission yeast)
Lineage: Eukaryota; Fungi; Ascomycota; Schizosaccharomycetes; Schizosaccharomycetales; Schizosaccharomycetaceae
Source: the annotation of a GenBank genome assembly